CCAUGCCUGUGGCAUAUGGAAGUUCCCGGGCCAGGAAUCAAACCUGUGCCACAGCAGUCAUGAGAGCCACAGCAGUGACAGUGCCAGAUCCUUAACCUACUGAGCCACCAGGGAACUCCUGCAAUACUCUUACUCUCUAUCUGUAUUACCGCAUAAAGAAACUGGCCAGUGUCAGAAGUUGGUUAGAUGAGAAAAGUUUUCACAAGUGGGAGUUGUAGCUGCUUGUCUCUUAACUGUAGGGAAUCUGUCAACUUUCGUGCAGUGUAUCAAGACUUUACUCUUCAAAAUCAUUCUCAGUGUGCUCUGAAUUGCGAUACUUUUAAGCUAACUACUUCUCAAAGUGCUGUUUAAAAACUGACAUCUUCAACCGCAUUCCAGGCUUAGAAUAUAUCUAAAUUUGCAAAAGAUUUAAGAGAAAAAUGUGGUUUUCUUUGUAACAGGCUAAAAAUAAUGAUAUCCUUUAUCUUCAACUGAACAUGUACAUAUGUUGUAUAAGCUGUUGCAUUUAAACAAAUUGAAAAACAGUAGGAUUCUGGCUAUCAUCCACCAAGAAACAAAACCUGCCCAGAAUAUCCUUUUAAGCAUUAAAAAUACAAUUAACUGUGAUUUUCCACAAAGUUCAAUCCCACAUACCAAAUCCGUGUUGUCAACCAGGUCCAAGGCAUCAAAUUAUAAAAGCUAAUGUCUCAACAACAGACAGGAAGCUCAGAAAAAAAAAAUGAUUUCAGUACAAUUUUACAUAAGGGAACGUUAGUUUAUAUUUCUACAAAUUGCUUUUGAGUUACUGGGCAAUAUGUUAUUUAAACUCCCCCUUAUGGCAACAGAACACAAGUCAUAUCCCUUAAAUAAUUCCCUCUGAACAUUAAAUGUUUAUCAUGUGCAAAGUGCCGCUAGAUGAGGCUCAGAAAUGGAGAAAACAGGUUCACUGCUGUGAAUGCUGAAUGCUGAUUUUUUAAAACAGAAGAAUGUCACCAACUCUGAUAAUUCUGGGUGAUUCCUCCUUACCACCAACAGUGAUUUUUCAACUGUUUUCUUCUAAGCCGGAACCCUGCCUUCAAAUGAAAUCUUACAUGGAAACCCAAAACAUUAAAUAAAGUUGAGACCAUUCACCUUGACCUACUGAUUUUUCCUCCCCCUCCUCGCCACCCGCCCUCCCCCCUUUACCACCAAGGGCUUCUGCAGGCAGCCCCAUGGGAGUUUGGGGGUUUUGAGACAUGCUUCGGCCACUGGAGAAAGUGCUCUGCCCUCCACUGGUCUGAGGAGUCUCAGAUCCUUCACAUGGCCUAUGAGACCCCUUACACUUUGCUCCCUCUAUUUCGCAGCCCCAUGAGCUCAUCAACCCACUGACCAUGUAACAUACUGCCCUCAGUAAUGGAGUACCGACUGUUCACUGCAUGCAUUAUGCACCAUGCUGUUUGUGCCCCAUGCUUUAAGCUGUCCCUCCGCUUAAAAGGUGAGCCCUUCAUAUCCUUCACCUCCAUCAGUGCUGAGACACCCCACAACUCUGCAUGUCUGGAAACUGUCUUAACUCCAUAUAUACAUUCAUUUUCACCUCACCAUGGUGGGAGGUAGGUAUUCAUGUAAACUAACUUUCUUUUUUUUUUUUAAACACAUCCGGAAGUUCUUGGGCUAGGGAUCAAAUCGGAGCUGCAGCUGCCAGCCUAUGCCAGAGCCACAGCAAUGGCAGCUCUGAGCUCCAUCUGUGACCUACGCCACAACUCACGACAACACCAGCUCCUUACCCACUGAGCAAGGCCAGGGAUCGAACCUGCAUGUGCAUGCAUUCUAGUGGGGUUUGUUACCGCUGAGCCACAACGGGAACGCCAUGUUAAUUAACUUGUAAAUAAGUCAAGGACAGAGAGUAUCUUCUAUUUUCAAUUGUACAGUACGAUUUAGCACAGGUCUUGACUCAUAAUAGGGGCUUAAUAUACGACCGUGAGAG
RNAcentral lists this long non-coding RNA (1942 nucleotides) under Sus scrofa (pig). RNAcentral describes it as "lncRNA (ENSSSCG00000058629.1)". The record is from RNAcentral. Lineage: Eukaryota; Metazoa; Chordata; Mammalia; Artiodactyla; Suidae.